AGCGAACGCCGGCGGCGUGCUCAACACAUGCAAGUCGAGCGAAGGUGUUUCAAGGGUAACCUUGAGAUACACUUAGCGGCGGACGGGUGAGUAAUACGUGGAUAACUUACCUCUAGGCCUGGGAUAACCCCGGGAAACUGGGGCUAAUACCUGAUAAGACCACAUUGUCUACGGACAAAGGGGUAAAAGGUGGCUGUGCAAACAGCUAUCGCCAAAAGAUAGGUUCACGUCCCAUCAGGCAGUUGGUGAGGUAAUGGCUCACCAAACCAAAGACGGGUAGCCGGCCUUGGCGGGUGAACGGCCACACGGGGACUGAGACACGGCCCCGACUCCUACGGGAGGGCAGCAGUGGGGAAGUAUUGGGCAAUGGGCGGCAAGCCUGACCCAGCGACGUCGCGUU
This 400-nucleotide ribosomal RNA is filed under the name uncultured bacterium. RNAcentral describes it as "bacterial SSU rRNA". It matches the Rfam family "Bacterial small subunit ribosomal RNA", at positions 29 to 403 of the family's 1533-position model. The record is from RNAcentral.